Octopus bimaculoides (California two-spot octopus) is the source of this 3342-nucleotide long non-coding RNA. RefSeq lists it as uncharacterized. The record is from RefSeq and is a predicted model, not a curated record. Lineage: Eukaryota; Metazoa; Mollusca; Cephalopoda; Octopoda; Octopodidae.
GCCAGAUCCCACACAGGGAACUUUAUCUGAAUGGCUAAAUAUUAAUUUUGACCCAGAGGUCAUCACUGGUAGCAAAGGCUGGUGCUAUGACAACAACCCAGAAACAAAGCAGCAGUCAAGUCAGUGGAAGCAUUCAAUGUCACCACGCCUCGAAAAAGCAUGUCAAGUGAAGUUCAGUGUCAAGACAAUGCUGAUUUGUUUCAUCAAUGUAAUAGGAAUUGUCUACACAGAAUUUGUUCCUCCUGAUCUAAUUGUUAACCAGAUGUUUUACUUGACAGUUCUGAAGCGUUUGUGAGACACGAUGAAAUGAAAACGCCUCAACCUGUAGCAAAGUGGAGAGUGGUGGUUUCAUCAUGACAAUGCUCUUGUGCACACCACCUUGAGUGUGAAACAGUUUUUUUACCAAAGAUGGCAUGAUCCUGCUUACUCACCCUCCCUAUUCAUCCGGUCUUGCUUCCUGCAACUUUUUUGUUUCCUUGAAUGAAAAAAUUCCUUAAAGUUCAACAUUUUUCAGAUGUGGAAGAGGUGAAGAAAAAACAACAGAGGCAUGAAAAGACAUCACUUUGCAAGAAUUCCAGGACUGCUUUGAUCAGUGGAAAAUGCAUCUGGACCAAUCCAUUGUUUCAAAUGUAGAAUACUUUGAAGGCGAUAAAAGUGUAAACAUGUAAAACUAAGUAAAUAAAAUAAUAUUGCAAAUUCUGGUUUCUUUUGGAUAACCCCUCGUAUAUAUAUUACCCAUAUAUAUGCACACCAAUGACAAUUUAACCUCAUUUCAAACAACCUGUAACAACAAACUUGCUGGCAUCUAAGUCAACACAGAUAUUGUAUCAGCAUGGUAUGCUUUUAAAAAUGCUGUAUUUGAGUCAUCCUGUGAAGCAUUUGGGUAUUUUAAAAGGAAGCACUAAGAUUGGUUUGACUCAGAUGAUCCAAACAUCUCUCCUCUUUUGGACAAUAUGCUCAAGUGCCACUGUCAAUGGGUGUCAAACAAAAAUAGUGCCACAAAACACAAUGAGUUUGAAAAGGCCAGAAAUACAUGCCAAUCUCAACUGAGGCAAAUCAAACAGACAUAGUGCAAAAGAAGGCACAAGACUUGCAGAAUACUGCAGAUAGAUGUAAUUCCAAGUCAUUCUAUCUGUUAUGGCGAAAAUCAUGACACUCCCUUUGAGAAUGGACUAGCCAAACUCGUAUAUAUAACAAUGUGUUUGACUGAGAACGAGAGAUGAGAAAUUGCAGUAAGUUGAACGGUGUUGUUUGUGAAUUUGUGGAGUCAUAGGAAAUUGUUGAGAAGUUGUUAUAGUUUGUUGAGAGUUGUUUUGGAUUGAUUACAGUUGUUGGCAGAGUGUUUGGGAAUACAUCAAGUGGAGACAGUUGGUGUCUACCCUGUUCUGUGGUAUUGUAUAUCACAAUGUUAUUAGUGCACGACACUAAGGUGACAUAUACUGAAACCACAUUACAAAAGUGGAAACAAGUGAUUUGAAGCUUAUGUUGGUCAUUAAUAAUUUUUUAUGAUACAAAAAAUUCAUUAAUUAUGGAAGACCUAUUAGCUAACAUAUUACAGUUGCAAAAGCAACUGCAACAGCAGUAACAAGAGUUGCACCAACAACUACAACAGCAACAACUACAACACAAUCAGUUGUUGGAACUGAUAUUGAAGUCAGGAAACACCACCAGUUCAUUUUCACCAGAUGGUGUAGUGAAGGCUAUAAAUGUUGUGAUAAGAGUUCCCUGUUUAACACUUGUUGGGAGUGUUUGAACUUAGUAAAAGAAGAGGACGAAGAUUUUGUCGGUUAUGCUGGAAUCAUAAAUAAAAUGUGCAAAAAAUUUUAACUGAAGGAAUUAUCUCUUGACAUGUUUAAAUCCCUCAUCUUUGUGCAAGGUUUAACGGCAAACAGAGAUGCAGAAAUUCGUGCAUGGAUUCUUACAAAACUAGAACUGGAGGACCAGAAUUUAACCCUGCAAAUUCUAGCAAAGGGAUGUCAAAGAAUUUUCAACUUGUAACAGGACAUACAGAAAAUAGAAGAAAAAAUUUCUCUCAAGUAUAGAUGUGUCAACUGGGAAUAAAUAAAGAAAAAUGAAUGUUAUGACCAAAUCCGUGCUAUUGGGAUGGAGGUCUGCAUUUUAAGAAAGAGUGUCCAUUUAAAACUUGGAAAUGUUUUAAUUGUCAAAAAAUAGGACAUAAAAGCUCGUACUGCAUAGUGAAGCAAAAAAGGUUGGAAAAAUAAUUUCUUCUAAAAAGGUUUGCUUAACAGAAAGUUGUGAGACAACCAAAAUGGAAAGUAUGUGUAUGUAAAAAUAGACAACACCGACAUGAAAAUACAACUAGACACAGGUAGCGACAUUACAAUUAUUAAUACCGACAUGUGGAAGAAAAUUGGGAAACCUACAUUAAAGAAAACAUUGAGAAAUGUGCAAGGCAUCACAGGUGAAAGAUUACACUUCUUAGGCAAAAUGGUAAGCAACAUUACAUUUUGUGGUAAAACGUGUAAAGCAAAAGUGUUAGUGUUAAAAAAUGCAAUAAACUUGUUCAGUACUGACUGGAUGGAGUUGUUUGAUUUAUGGGACCUCCCCAUAAAUCUGUUCUGUAAAAACAAAUGACUGUUUCUCCAGUAAGAAUAAGGCAUUAGAUGAAUUGAAGAGAACAUUUUUAAAUGCUUUUCCUGAAGUGUUGUCAGAUAAAUUAGGUUUGUGUACUAAGACUGAGACAUGUUUCCAAAUUAAGGAAAACACAAUACCAGUGUUCAAGCCAAAAAGAACAGUACCUUUUGCUGUGAUAAAACAUGUCAUUGAAGAAUUAGACAGAUUAGAAAAAAUUGGAGUCAUCCAAAAAGUAGAAUAUGCAAAAUGGGCAAUUCCAACAGUGUGUAUUAAAAAAAGGAAUACCAAAAAUCGGGGUGUGUGCUGAUUUUUUUCACUGGUUUCAAUGAAUGUCUGAAAACAUGUCACUAUCCACUAUCUACUCCAGUGGAUAUUUUUGCCAAGUCAAAUGGGGGCAAGAUAUUUUCGAAACAGAAUCUCUUCAAUGUGUACCUACAAAUUAGAGUUCAUAAAGAAUGCUCAAAAUAUCUAACAGUGAAUACAUAUAAAGGACUAUAUAAAUACUAGCAAUGCAUCCUAGUGUUGCCCAGGUGUUAUGACCUACAAGCACAUUGUAUUAUUUGGUCCUUUCUUAUGAGCAGAAUUGGCACAGCUGAUAUAUAGUUAAUGGAGUAAUGGAAGUUAUUUUUUGUUUAAGAGUGGAGAGCGAAGAUACAAUUUGCAUGGGUUUGCAUGAAAGUGCUUUCUGCUCUUAAGAAGAAUCAGAAACUAUGUAUUGUUUCAUCGUAUAAAAGGAGGUUAAUAUGA